UACGGAGGGUGCAAGCGUUGUUCGGAAUCACUGGGCUUAAAGCGCGUGUAGGCGGAAUACAAGGUGCCGUGUGAAAUCCCCGGGCUCAACCCGGGAACUGCACGACAAACCGGUAUUCUUGAGGCAAGUAGAGGUGACUGGAACGACUGGUGGAGCGGUGAAAUGCGUUGAUAUCAGUUGGAACGCCUGAGGCGAAAGCGGGUCACUGGGCUUGUCCUGACGCUAAGACGCGAAAGCGUGGGUAGCAAACAGG
RNAcentral lists this ribosomal RNA (253 nucleotides) under uncultured bacterium. RNAcentral describes it as "partial 16S ribosomal RNA". It matches the Rfam family "Bacterial small subunit ribosomal RNA", at positions 524 to 776 of the family's 1533-position model. The record is from RNAcentral.